AAAACAGGGUCCUUGAUGCAGUUAAUGAGCUUAAACUGCACUGCCAUCCUUAUGUUACUAUAGAACCUAUUCUUACUUUGACUUGAAUUUAAAACCGAGUCCUUGGGGCAGUUAAUGUGCUUAAAUGCACUACUGCCUUUUAGUGUGGAACCCACCCAUCCUCACUUUGCAUUAAAACAGGGUCCUUGAUGCAGUUAAUGAGCUUAAACUGCACUGCCAUCCUUAUGUUACUAUAGAACCUAUUCUUACUUUGACUUGAAUUUAAAACCGAGUCCUUGGGGCAGUUAAUGUGCUUAAAUGCACUACUGCCUUUUAGUGUGGAACCCACCCAUCCUCACUUUGCAUUAAAACAGGGUCCUUGAUGCAGUUAAUGAGCUUAAACUGCACUGCCAUCCUUAUGUUACUAUAGAACCUAUUCUUACUUUGACUUGAAUUUAAAACCGAGUCCUUGGGGCAGUUAAUGUGCUUAAAUGCACUACUGCCUUUUAGUGUGGAACCCACCCAUCCUCACUUUGCAUUAAAACAGGGGGUUUUUGGAGCAGUUAAUGUGCAUAAAUGCCACUAUAGAACCCAUACUCACUUUGAUUUUGAUUUAAUACAGAGUUCUUGGUGAUUAUUUUGCUUAAAUUUAAAUGCCAGUACUGUGCUUAUGUCAGUAUAGAACCCAUGUAUCCUCACUUUGCAUUAAAGUAGAGGGUCCUUAUUCCACCACUGUUCUUAUGUUAAGGUGGAACCCACCCAUCCUCACUUUGUAUUAAAACAGUCUCUGGGGCAGUUAAUGUGUUUAAAUGCCACAGCUGUCCUUAGGUAAUAUGGAAUCCACUCAUCCUCACUUUGCAUUUAAACAGGGGGUCCUUGGGGCAGUUAAUGUGCUUAAAUGCCACUUGUGUCCUUAUGUCACUCAUAGAACCCAUAAUUACUUUGAUUUAAAACAGAGUCCUUGAGACAGUUAAUGUGCUUCAAUGCCACUACUGCCCUUAAGUUAAGGUGGAACCCACCCAUCCUAACUGCAUUAAAGCAGAAGGUCCUUCGAGAAGUUAAUGCGUUUAAAUUAUGCCACUACUGCCUUUUAGUGUGAAACCCACGCAUCCUCACUUUGCAUUAAAACAAUCCUUGGGGCAUGUAAUGUGCUUAAAUGCCAGCACUGUCUUUUUCUUACUUUGCAACCCGCCCAUCCUCUCUAUGAAUUAAAACAGGGAUCUAAGAGGGAAAAAACACAGAGGGUCCUUGGGGCAGUUAGUGUGCUUAAAUGCCACUAUGGAACCCAUCUAUCUUCACUUUGUAUUAAAACUGAAGGACCUUGAAACUGUUACUCUGGUAACUUGUAUCCUCCCAUUCCUCUGCAUUGCCUGAGAGCAGAUAUGUUAUUGAAAUGUGCUUAUUUGGCUGCUGUGGCACCUUCUUUUUGUCUCUUUCCAUUUCUUCCCACUCCCUUUGCAGUAUAGCAGAGGGUACUUGGGCCUGUUAAUGGGCUUAAUUAUAGGAUUCCCAUGCACUCCUAGGCAGUUUGCAUUUAGACAUAUAUUUGGUUCUGUGAAGUUGCCUAAUUGCAACAGUGGUCCUUUUUGUCUAGGUUCCCAAUCCACCUCGUAGCCCUAUUACAAUACCUGGAUGGGCAUUUGGCACUGUCAGUGUGCUCAAUUGAAGUUGUGGUCCCUUCUGUAAUUCCAGGAUCACAUCCUGCCUUUUCCCUUUUCAUUACCUAGGAGCGUUUGGGGACUGUUAAAAGCCCUUGGAGCUACUGUCCCUUCUAUUUGUCUAAGAUUCCAUCCCUCCCUCCCCCAUCUCACUUGGCAUUACAACAGUGACUGUUGUGCUUAAUGUGCUUAAAGGCAGCUAUAGUCCCUUUCCUUAGUCUGGGAUCCAUCCAGGCCCUUAAACAUCUUUUGCAUUACCAUAGAAAGUACUUGGGACUGUAAGUGUGGUUAAAUGCAAGUGUGGUCCCUUUUGUUAGUUUAGGAACAUGACUUUUCAGUUUCUUUACAUCAUCUGGAAGUCAUUGUAGAUAAAGUUCUAAUUGUAGCUGUGGUCCCUUUUGUCAAUCUAAGAUUCCUUUUUCUCCUACUUCAUUUGCAUUACAACAUAGGGUUCUUGGAACUAUGAAGGGGUGUCUUGUCCUGUCACAUCUAUUAAAUUUUACAAAAGAGGAUCUGAACACCAAAACCCCUUCUUUUGCACCGUUAAUGUGGAAUAUUGCUUUUGUCCUUUCUCCUCUGCAGUAGAUAUAGGCCUCACUCAUUUUCCUUAUAUUCAGCAGUGGAUGCCCUUUACUAAGGACCUUUGUACUUAAUAUAGUUAAAAGUGAGUCAUAGUAGUUGACCACAAUUAUGUCUUUUAUGAAAGUGGUUGACCCUCUUCAUUUUACAAGAAGGCGUAUUAAUUACCUGUUACUUGCCUUAUGUUAGAAUAGCAUCCCAUUUCCUUGCCCCAUUUAUAUUACUGCAAGGGCUUCUGACUAGCCAAGAUUCACUCUCCUGGACUGUUAAUGUGCAUACUUACAUUUGCUCCUGUACCUGUACAGCAGGUAAGGCCACUCCCCCAUCAUAUUUAUACUCUAGCAGGAGGUGCCUACUACUAAAGACCUUACACACUUAUGCAGUUAAUGUACACAACUUUUAUCUUGUACACACUCUCAGUAGUCCAUAACUGUGCCUUUUCAAUCUCUUGCACUUAUGGAAGCAGAGGUUACUGACCUUAAAGCCCUCUCUUGGGACUAUGGAUUUGUUUAAUUAGUUGUCCAUAAUCUUUCGAAUUAAGAUGGGUUCCUGACUCUUCACACCCUCUUUGCUUUACUGCAUGGGGUACUGUCCACUUAAGGCCCCUUUCUCAAACUGUUAAUGUGUAUAAUAAUUACAUUAGAAUCCUUCCUCUGAUUUCAAUCCCUUUGAAAUACCAGAGGGAUUCUGACUCUGAAGGACCCAUUUCUUAGCUCGUUAAUGUGAAUGUGCUUGUCUGGGUUUCUGUGUACUAGACAAUGACACCUCCUCUCCCUAUUCCCUUUCAGCAUUGAGUGCCCUCUGCACAAGACUGUUAACGCUUGGACAGUCAAGGUGUGAAAUUAUAGUUGAUUACAGCCUUACACCUGGGACAUUAAUGUGUGUAAUUUCACAUGGCUCAUCCCAUUUGAAUAAGAUCCUAUAUCCUCUCAGACCCUUAUUAUAGUAUAGCAAGGGUACUGAUCACAUGAAAAGGUAUCUUUUCAUGGCUUAUUGUGCAUAAUUGCAUUUGUACAUGUUCUUGUACACCAGAUAAGGACACCCCUCUCCUUAUUCCCUUAGCCUUUUAGCAAAGAGUGCCCACUACUUUAAGAUUUUUAUAUUGGUACAAGGUACAAGGUUUUAAUUAACUAUACCAUAUCCCUUGGACAUUAAUGUACAUAAUUUCAACUUGGUUCAUCCUACCCUAUUGCUCUCCGUUGACAGUAUACCAUAGUUGCUGAACCCUAAAUCCCCUUUACUUGGCCUAUUAAUGUGCGUAAUUGCAUUUGUCUGGGUUCUUGUUCACUAGACAAGGACACUGACACACAACAUACCCCCAACCUCCUUUGCCUUCUAGUAGGUAGCACCUACUAUUGAGACCUUUACAUUUAGACAGUUAAUGUGCAGAAUUGCUGUUUUCCAUAUCCCCAUCACUUCCAGGACUAUUGUACCUCCUUUGCACUAUUGCAGGGGAUACUGUUUUUUCUCCAAGGCCCCUUCUAGUGGACUGGUACUAUACAUAUUGAAAUUGUCUAUUGUCUUCAUUAGUAGACACACACACACACACACACACACACACCCCCGCCCCACCAACUUCCCUUUGCAGUACAGCAGAGUGCUGAUCAACCAAAGCCCUCAUUGGACCUUUAAUAUCUGCAGUUACAUUUUCUCCUGUUCUCUGCACUAGAUAAGCGCAUCACCUACUUCCUUAGCAUUUUCAUCAGACAGUGCCCACUACUCAAAAGAUUUGUUCACUUGGAAGUUUCAUGUGCACAAAUAUAAUUUUGUAAGUAAAUCUUAUAUCAGAAUGACUGUACCCUCCUUGCUUUAAAGCAAGGAGAUGCUAUUCAACGGGCCCCUCCCUCCUUUUUACUUUAAUGUAUAAUUGCAAUUGUCCUUGCUUCUGUUGGAGUAGGAUUGCAUCUCCUCAUUCCCCCCUUUGUAUUAGGGGCAUAUUAACUAUGAAUGAGCUCUUCUAUUGAGAUUAUUAAUGUGCAUAAUUAAUUGUAUUUGUCUGUGGGCCUAUGCAGUAGGAAAGGUGCUGUGCUCUAUGCCCUUACCACUCACUGCCUUUGAAUUACUGCUGACCUCAGCUCUCGAACAUUUAUCCAAAGUUCUGAUUAUUAUACAGGACCCCAUACUUUCUUUGUAUACAUCAUGUAUGACCCCUUCUGUUGGAAUAGGAUACCAUUCCAUUAUACCCCCUACGCAUUACUGCGGGGGCUGCUGACCACACAAAACUUCUGCAAAUGUUAAUAGACACAAUGGCAAUUAGCAAUGGGUUUGUCCUCCCUGAUCUUAUUAGGUAAGCACUCUCAGCCCCAAUUUCUCAUGGCAUCAUAAAGUGUAAACAUUGCAGUAUGCCCUUUAACUUGUCCUUCAAAGAGCAACCCAUACUCCCACUCCUUUUGCAAUGCUCCAGGGCAUACAUUUCCAAGUAGUCAUGGUCCUACCCUUAUCUUCCCUCUCCCUACCUCUUGCCUGUCCUUGGACCCUUCUGUGGACCAUUAAUAAUCACAAUUUCAGUUGUCCAUGUAUUCAGCCAUUAGAUAAUAUUGUGAUCCCUCCUGCCCCUGCCCGGCCCCGCGCCCCGCCCCACCUCAUCCCGCCCUUUUGAAUUGCUGGUGGGGAAUGUUGAUUGGGCAAGGCCCUUUCACUUGGGCUUAAAUGUUAACAAUCCCAGAUGUCAUUGGUUUACCCAGUUUAUAUUGCUGUGGUGCUUCAGUUGCACUUUACUUGGUCCUGCCCAUCUGACAUGGACCCUCCAUUUCCCUUUUUGCAUUGCUUUUCAGUAAUGCUGACUACCCAAAGGCCCUUCUGUGUUUUUACUCAACACAGUACUGAUUGUCCCAUUUUUCAACCCAUCAGCUCAAGACCUCCCUACCACUUUGAUGUUGUAUUUGUGCAGUGUUGUUUACCAGCAGGCCUGAACUAGGUGGAUGGGCCUUCACUCCUUUUCUUGCAUUUGUUAAUAAUCUGAAUUCCAAUUAUUGUCCUAUUCUUGGGACAAGAGUUAUCUCUGCCCACCUCUGUUACUGCUUUACUGGGCAAAAUGCUCAAGGCGAGGCAAGCCCAAGGAGCUGAUUGCCACCCUUUACAUUCUGGAUUUUUAACACACACACAUAUAUAUAUCAGUUGAAAGUUGUCUCCCCAGGAAGGAAGGUUAACACUAUCUCUGCAUUUUUCCUUCCAAAGCAGGUUGCCUGGCUGAGAAUCUCUCCUCUUUGUAUAUUGCUAUUCUACAGAGUCAAUUGCCAGGAUACAACCAAAAGUUACCGCUAUUUUUUAUUAAGAAAGACAUCUGGAUUGCAAGGUGGAAUUGAUAAACUGGGCAUUAAACUUUUGAAGUUAAAAACCCAUUUAUACCAUGUACCUGAUGACCAGUGUCUCUCAUUUUACUAAGGGUGGUGGGUCUGUGGAUAGACCACUGUGACUCUUGCUAUACUAAAGGAGUUCAAGAAUGGAACUCUUAAAGACCAGUAUCUUUGAGCUCUACCACCAUUCUAAAACCAUGCCAUUUGGGUUUUACCACCAUUCUCUUUUAGAAAAACUACCUAAAUUUCCUAAUCCUUAAAUUUCUUCAUCUGGAACACCAACCAGCCCCUACUUAUUUCAAGAAGAUAAUAACUGUAAAAGGAUGAAAUGAGACAACAUAUACUGAGGUGCUUUUGAAAACCAAAGUUCACCUUAUUUGAUUAAUCUAUUACAUAAUGAGGACUUAAAAAUGAUGGGACCUGUUUCCCUGUUUUAUAUCAAAAGAACAGUAAGCUAAGGUCUAGCCAUUCUUCCGGAUAUAAACUUGUUUGACAGUGCGCUGCCUGGUAAAAAUGAUUAGCCUAGCCUCUAGUGUACAGGUUUUGGUGGCAAAGAAGUAUUUAAUAAGGAACUACUGAAGCAAAUAACUAGUCAUCACAACAGCAGUUCUUUGUAAUCAAUGAAAAAGAAUACUAUUCCUCUAAGAAGGAUGUCAAAAGGUCAUCCCAGGUCAGGGUGCAGUUUAUACUUCCAGCUCCUUGGACAGCUGUAAGAAGAGUCUCUGGCUCUUUAGAAUUCUGGAUGAAUUCUGAGCCAGUUCUGAACCCCUACUUAGGAAUGAUGGGUCAAUUGUAGAUGGAUUGAAAUCUGCACUAGGAAGCAUCCAA
Molecule: long non-coding RNA, 6340 nt
Organism: Myotis brandtii (Brandt's bat)
Lineage: Eukaryota; Metazoa; Chordata; Mammalia; Chiroptera; Vespertilionidae
Exons: 3
Source: RefSeq, a predicted model, not a curated record